GGAGAUUUAGCUCAGUGGUUGUGCUGUCUGCCUCACAAGCACAAGAACCCAAGUUCAAUCCCUGGAACCCCUU
RNAcentral lists this transfer RNA (73 nucleotides) under Fukomys damarensis (Damara mole-rat). It matches the Rfam family "tRNA". Rfam says of the family: Transfer RNA (tRNA) molecules are approximately 80 nucleotides in length. Their secondary structure includes four short double-helical elements and three loops (D, anti-codon, and T loops). The record is from Rfam by way of RNAcentral. Lineage: Eukaryota; Metazoa; Chordata; Mammalia; Rodentia; Bathyergidae.